RNAcentral lists this ribosomal RNA (515 nucleotides) under uncultured bacterium. RNAcentral's name for it is "partial 16S ribosomal RNA". It matches the Rfam family "Bacterial small subunit ribosomal RNA", at positions 28 to 523 of the family's 1533-position model. The record is from RNAcentral.
GAUGAACGCUGGCGGCGUGCCUAAUACAUGCAAGUCGAGCGAAUGGAUUAAGAGCUUGCUCUUAUGAAGUUAGCGGCGGACGGGUGAGUAACACGUGGGUAACCUGCCCAUAAGACUGGGAUAACUCCGGGAAACCGGGGCUAAUACCGGAUAGCAUUUUGAACCGCAUGGUUCGAAAUUGAAAGGCGGCUUCGGCUGUCACUUAUGGAUGGACCCGCGUCGCAUUAGCUAGUUGGUGAGGUAACGGCUCACCAAGGCAACGAUGCGUAGCCGACCUGAGAGGGUGCUCGGCCACACUGGGACUGAGACACGGCCCAGACUCCUACGGGAGGCAGCAGUAGGGAAUCUUCCGCAAUGGACGAAAGUCUGACGGAGCAACGCCGCGUGAGUGAUGAAGGCUUUCGGGUCGUAAAACUCUGUUGUUAGGGAAGAACAAGUGCUAGUUGAAUAAGCUGGCACCUUGACGGUACCUAACCAGAAAGCCACGGCUAACUACGUGCCAGCCGCCGCAGUAA